This 171-nucleotide small RNA is filed under the name Sphenodon punctatus (tuatara). Its description in RNAcentral is "TUC338 (ENSSPUG00000004072.1)". Lineage: Eukaryota; Metazoa; Chordata; Lepidosauria; Sphenodontia; Sphenodontidae. The record is from RNAcentral.
AAGACAGAACUGGUGAAGAACGUAUUUUGUUCCCAGAAUAAAUAUAGCAUGGGCAGCAGCAGUACGAGCUUCCACACAUUGCUUCUUUCAUGAGCCGGAUCCUGGUGGACCUUUGCUCAUCUCCCAGUGUUAAAAACAUUCAGAAAACCAGCAAAUCUAACACCAGGAGAA